GCUGCUUACGACGUCACAGAUGACGAUUUAAGUAGACUUUUCUAUAAUCCACAAUGACAGCAUAGGUUUUAUGAUUUUUGAAUAGUUCUAAGUGGCAUAGGCUGUAGCAGGCUUGUCUCUGAUGCGUUUGUAUAGCUUAGGCCUAUGCUAGCUAAGGGUUGAGGGCGGAGAGAGAGUGUAGAAAGCCUACCUCCCUGGUACCUAGGCAUAAGGCUAGGUAGGUAGUAGGUUUCAACGGGAAUUAUAGGUACUGUCAACCAACCAUAACUUAGGUAAACUAACCUAUAACUUAGACUAACCUAAGAACUUGACCUCGUACGUAUUGAGCUAACCUGGCUAGAAAGGGCGGGGCGAGGGAUGCCCCGACUCCCUUGGCAACCUCCGUACCCGUAAGUUAGGUACGUAUGACCCCUCCCACUGCAUGAGGAGUUGUUAGCUAUUCAUACCCCACAGGUCGCACGAGUCGCUUUUACUGUUAGAUAGGUAGAAGGUUGGGGGUUUAAAAUGGAUGGGAAGCCUUCUCCCCGCCACCAUCCAGGCUAGUGCACGGCAUCUAAGGUUAGGUUACGUCGAGGUAAGUAUGGUUAGAUCAUGGUCAUGACACACUUAUGGAGAGAGGUGCUACUACCUAAUCCCUCUCAGCCAGGUCAGGGUACAGUGUCCAAGUUUCGGUUGGAUUACAUAUCCUAUAUUAUGUAUAAUAUAGCAAGUUGCUAGCUAGUAUGUGAAUAAGUUUCAUCCAAUGAAAUAGGAUAAAAGACCGAGCGGUGACAUACUGGCCACCCCUCUUGGAACGCGGCCACUUACAGAAAAAGUGCUUGAAUUAUGCCAUUAUUUCGUAAUUUAGGAGAAAACACUUAGUUUAUUAGGAAAACACAGGUCUCAUUGUGUUGCCUGGAUGGGCCACAACUCUUGACUGAUGCUCAUGCCAGCGAAUUCAAGUACCUUUUCGGGUAGGUGGCCGCAUUCCGGGAUCGGUGGCCGCUAAGUCACAGUUUGGUCGUUUACCAUAAUAAGUUAUAUUCCUUUUGAAAUGCCUACUAGGGCUAUAGCAGCUCUGACCCGUGUUCAGGGAUAGAAUGCAGAGUGGGUGAUUGAUGCAAGUCUUGUAAGGUCACAUUGCCUCUAAAAUUACCACUAUAUUUACCCGUGCGUAGGCUAUCAGAGGCCUUUCCCUGACCUCAUGCAGUUAAUAGGAUAGGUAUGCUGUACAGGUCUAUUUGAUCUGUGCUCAAACAUUAUAAGGUAUGUGUAUGUGGCUAGGUUACGUUUCUUUAAUUUCCUUUAGGAUUUAGUGUUGUUAGUGCACCUCACAUGGUACACUGUAGGUAUUGUAAGGUUCCUUGCAGUGUCCUUCAGUCGCUAGCUGUGGCACCUUUUAUACUUCUAUCUAUGUCUCUGUUCAUAUUCUUUUUCUACCAUCUUGCUUUCCACCCUUGUAAAUGGUGUUUCAUAGUGCACCUGCAAGGUUUUCUUCCUGUUGCAUGAUUCAAACCUUUCUCAGUUUCCCUUCUAGCGCUGAGUGCUUUCUAAGGUCCCAGCGGUUGGCCUUUUGCCUAAAUUUCAUAUUCCAUUCCUAUUUGAUUCUGAUUUAGGCCUCUGGGGCUACUAAAACUCAAUGUAAAUAGAGUGCGUAAUGGCAUAUUUGCUGAGCCUUUAAGAACACUUAGGCUGAUCUUUAAGGUCUUCAAUUAAGAUUUGUUGGAGAUGAUUACCUGUUACCUUUUACAUUUAUGCCAACCUGCACUAUGUGUAGCAUUAAGCUGUGGACCCAGGCCUGGUUAUUCUUUCUUCCAUAUGCCGGAGAUAUCUGAUUAAUGGAUUCCAUUAUACGUAAUUGUGUUUAUUGUAGCUCACCAUUUUGUGGAUACAACUGGCCUUGUAAGCUAAGUUGUAAAUAUGGAGAUACUGAUUCUUUUGAGAGAAAUUAUGUAAAAUACUCAAAUUUAUAGCCUAAAUUUAGACCUCCCCUGAAAAUAGAAUCAAUCUUUAGUUAUUGUAAGCCAAUUGACCUCUUAAACUGCGGCUGAUUUAGUCAAGUGCACUACUCAAGUGUUUGCCUGAGUGUAUAUGUUAGAAAUGUUUGUAUACAUGCUCUUGAAUAAAUUUUUUUUUCAUCGUAAACUGGGUGUUUCAUCAUACUUAAAGCACUAGCUCCAAUAUGCUCUCACUAUUCGUAGCAGUUGUUUGAUGUUAUUUACUUGGUAUUGUUUUACUUUUUUUUUUUUUUUAAAUUUUAAUAGUAAAAAAAUCAAGUUUAUGCUCGAGAAGUACAAUCAAGUUAGUGAUACUUCAGUGACUUGUAUUUGAGGAGAUAUGCUUUAUGAUUUCCCCUGAACUAUAUUCUGUAGAUCUAUGUUGAAAAACUCUCAGAAGACCUUGGUAGCUCUAUCCAGGUUGAUUCACAGUAACAAUGGAGAGAAUUAUGUACCCAGAAUGUUUUCACAUGGACAUCUGGUCAGCUGAGAGCAUAAAACUUGAAAAUGAAAUGUAGGCAAGACAUGUUUUGUCAGAUAUUCAAAGUAGAUUGAAAAGACUGUUGAUCAGUACCUGCAAGCGCUGAAGACCUCCAGUAAGGAUGACUUUUUCGGAGGAAUGGAGGUGGAAGAGGAUGCUCAGUGCCAUCAGUAUGAAAUAUAUAAGGAUAGCCUUCACCUUGAAGUUAUUCUUUUUGUGUAACCUCAUCCAUUAAGAGAAGCAUGCAGUUAUUUGAAUAAAGUCUUUGAGAGUCAAGUAUAAAUUUGAAAAACUGAAGCAAAAGUAGUGGAGUUAAUGGUUUACAGGAAAGUCAGUGUUUCUUCUUGCUGUAGGGAUUAGUUUUUAUCUAAUUGUUUCAUGUGAUUGACUUUCAUCAUAAUUAGUGUCAAGCAUUGCCUAUGAACAUGGUAACCUAAUGUCAGUGUCAUUUUGAAUAAGAAUUUGAACAUGUCAGGUAUUUUCAGACAUUUAUUUGAUUUAUGUCAUGUUUUCUUGGAUUAGUAUCAAUCUUGAAAAUCAGUUGAUUUUUCUAUUAAAUAGAUUUUGUAUUUUUUAAAAAGUUGUUUUAUUAUAACUUGAACAACUAAUAAAAGUGUAGUAUUCAAUUAAACUUUUUGGGCUCACAUGCAAACAAUUGCCUUAGGUUGUUCCUUAUGUUUUGUUUGAAUUGGUGAUGCAAUGCCAUAGGGGGUUAGUGCCAUCAGUGUACCUCUCACGGUGGACUGUAGGGAUUGAUUAAUGUUGUUUGCAGCAUCCUCUCAGCCCAUACCUGCAACCCCGCUCAUUCCUAUCACUGUACCUCCGUUCAUAUUCUCUUUCUUCCAUCUUGCCAUCCUUUCCUCUAUUGUUUUACAGUGCAACUGUACUGCAGGUUUUUCCUACUUUUACUCAUUUAAAACUUUUUUCGUAAUUUCUCUUUCAGUGCUGAGUGAUCUCGUAGGUCCCAGCAGUUGGCCUAAAUUUUAUUUUCCAUUCCAUUUUUUUUUUACAGAGAAAUACACAUGGUUUCAUGAAUGAGAGCCAGAUAUCCCAAUAAAACACACACAAAUGUUUUGAAGCCUUGGAUUUUGUUUACCAGGCUUCAUGUCCUUACUACAGAGUUAUGCAUUCUUGCAGACUGCUGAUGUCAUUUUUGUAAAUAGUCAUCCGUUUAUUUCCCCCUCAGUUUAGUUUAAAUAAUUUUUUUUUAUUUUAUUUUAAUAAAAUAUAGGCCUAGCUAGUUCAGGACAGAAAUACUGUACAUUAGGAGAGUCUUGUUUUGGUAUAGAUUUUGUUAAGUGAAGUGGCUUUUUACGAAAAUUGUGAAAUUUAAACCAAAAAAGUUCAAGCAAUGAUGCUGUACAUUAUACCC
Macrobrachium nipponense is the source of this 3829-nucleotide long non-coding RNA. RefSeq lists it as uncharacterized. The record is from RefSeq and is a predicted model, not a curated record. The transcript has 3 exons. NCBI's taxonomy places the organism in Eukaryota, Metazoa, Arthropoda, Malacostraca, Decapoda, Palaemonidae.